Long non-coding RNA from Centruroides sculpturatus (bark scorpion), 872 nucleotides. RefSeq lists it as uncharacterized. The transcript is spliced from 2 exons. The record is from RefSeq and is a predicted model, not a curated record. NCBI's taxonomy places the organism in Eukaryota, Metazoa, Arthropoda, Arachnida, Scorpiones, Buthidae.
UAAGGUAAAUCGAUAAUUGGUUAAUGAACAAUUCGGAUAACAAACAAAAUCUUUUCAAAAAAAAAAAUUACUCAAUGAAAUUUACUUUAUAUUAAUUAAAAAAUAGCUUUUUGUAUGUCAGAAGUGGGUUACAGAAGAAGAAUGAAAUUUGUUUGUCUCUUUUUAAUUACUUUUUCAUUUUUUAUAUAAGAUUUGAUUAAUUUUCAUUAAAAUUUGUAAAUAUAAGAUGUGUAUAUAUUUAAGGAUCUAUUAUAUAGCUGAUAUAAUAUUAAUAGUCUUAAAUACAUAUGACAGUCUUAUAAUAGUUAAAUUUUAGAAUAUUCAUUGAAUUUAUAUUGUAUUUUUAUACAAAGUUUUGUAUGGAUUAAUUAUAUGAUAUCAUUUUUAAUAACUUUGGCUUAAAUAAAUAUUUGCAUAGAUUUUUUUAAUAAAAAAUAACAUUACAUGAUGUUUUAUAGAUGUGGUUAUGUAGAAAUUCCCAAAGAAAUGUGCAUAGAAAUUGAUUCAGAAUCAGACUGGAAAAUUUCAGAAUGUCAAGUCCAGUUAUAUGGUUAUAAAGGUGUAGGAAGUAAAUUAUAAAAUACAAGAAUGAUGUUAGAAUAGAUCAAAGGAAAUCAAUGGAUUCAUAAAGUAAAUCUUAGUACAGAAUAUGUUAUUUAUCUGAUAAAAGUUAAUGAUGUUAUAUUUAUUACAAUAAAAUAAAAUCAUAAAAAAAAAUCUGCUUUUAAAAGGUGAAGAGCAAGACAAGACAAGAAAUGCACUUUAUAUAUUUUUUGUAUUAUUUGUGUUGUACUGUAACAAACAUGUACGUUGAGCAGUUACAUAAUAUGUGAUGUAAACUAAUAUAUAUUUUAUAAAAGAAAAAAAUUGUA